GAUGAACGCUGGCGGCGUGCCUAAUACAUGCCAGUCGAGCGAACAGACGAGGAGCUUGCUUCUUUGACGUUAGCGGCGGACGGGUGAGUAACACGUGGAUAACCUACCUAUAAGACUGGGAUCACUUCGGGAAACCGGACCCAAUACCGGAUAAUAUAUUGCACCGUAUGGUUCAAUACUGAAAGACAGUUUUGCUGUCACUUAUAGAUGGAUCCGCGCCGCAUUAGCUAGUUGGUAAGGUAAAGGCUUACCAAGGCAACGAUGCGUAGCCGACCUGAGAGGGUGAUCGGCCACACUGGAACUGAGACACGGUCCAGACUCCUACGGGAGGCAGCAGUAGGGAAUCUUCCACAAUGGGCGAAAGCCUGACGGAGCAACGCCGCGUGAGUGAUGAAGGUCUUCGGAUCGUAAAACUCUGUUAUUAGGGAAGAACAAAUGUGUAAGUAACUAUGCACGUCUUGACGGUACCUAAUCAGAAAGCCACGGCUAACUACGUG
Molecule: ribosomal RNA, 497 nt
Filed under: uncultured bacterium
Lineage: Bacteria
Description: partial 16S ribosomal RNA
Rfam family: Bacterial small subunit ribosomal RNA
Source: RNAcentral